RNAcentral lists this ribosomal RNA (273 nucleotides) under uncultured bacterium. RNAcentral describes it as "partial 16S ribosomal RNA". It matches the Rfam family "Bacterial small subunit ribosomal RNA", at positions 524 to 796 of the family's 1533-position model. The record is from RNAcentral.
AACGUAGGGGGCGAGCGUUAUCCGGAUUUACUGGGCGUAAAGCGCCCGCAGGCGGCCUGGUAGGUUGGACGUGAAAGCUCCCGGCUCAACUGGGAGAGGUCGUUCAAUACCGCCAGGCUAGAGGUCAGAAGAGGGGAGUGGAAUUCCCGGUGUAGUGGUGGAAUGCGUAGAUAUCGGGAGGAACACCAGUGGCGAAGGCGGCUCCCUGGUCUGCACCUGACGCUCAUGGGCGAAAGCGUGGGGAGCAAACGGGAUUAGAUACCCCCGUAGUCC